UACGUAGGGUGCGAGCGUUAAUCGGAAUUACUGGGCGUAAAGGGUGCGCAGGCGGUUUGCUAAGUCAGAUGUGAAAUCCCCGGGCUCAACCUGGGCAUGGCAUUUGAGACUGGCAAGCUAGAGUGUGUCAGAGGGGGGUAGAAUUCCACGUGUAGCAGUGAAAUGCGUAGAGAUGUGGAGGAACACCGAUGGCGAAGGCAGCCCCCUGGGAUAACACUGACGCUCAAGCACGAAAGCGUGGGGAGCAAACAGG
RNAcentral lists this ribosomal RNA (253 nucleotides) under uncultured bacterium. RNAcentral describes it as "partial 16S ribosomal RNA". It matches the Rfam family "Bacterial small subunit ribosomal RNA", at positions 524 to 776 of the family's 1533-position model. The record is from RNAcentral.